UAAUACGUAGGUGGCAAGCGUUGUCCGGAAUUAUUGGGCGUAAAGGGCUCGCAGGCGGUUUCUUAAGUCUGAUGUGAAAGCCCCCGGCUCAACCGGGGAGGGUCAUUGGAAACUGGGAAACUUGAGUGCAGAAGAGGAGAGUGGAAUUCCACGUGUAGCGGUGAAAUGCGUAGAGAUGUGGAGGAACACCAGUGGCGAAGGCGACUCUCUGGUCUGUAACUGACGCUGAGGAGCGAAAGCGUGGGGAGCGAACAGG
Molecule: ribosomal RNA, 256 nt
Filed under: uncultured prokaryote
Description: partial 16S ribosomal RNA
Rfam family: Bacterial small subunit ribosomal RNA
Source: RNAcentral